This 1084-nucleotide long non-coding RNA is filed under the name Nicotiana benthamiana. RNAcentral's name for it is "long non-coding RNA (NBEN_LNC035805)". The record is from RNAcentral. Lineage: Eukaryota; Viridiplantae; Streptophyta; Magnoliopsida; Solanales; Solanaceae.
ACUAAUGAGUUCAUGCCAAUCUAAUCGAUUCAACAUCCCUUUUAACAUGAACAAACACUCAAAUUUUAUGAAUAAUCUUAUCACAAGUUGAAUCUUAAGCCGUUUAUACAACCUUCAGUUCUCUUUAACUUUUCCCAUUCAUUAAGUUCCAAACAAAGAAAAAUCUAAUAAAAAAUUAAGAUAUCAUGCUGACUUAAGAAUUAAAAAAACAAAAAAUCACAACUCCACUGCCCAGUCACACUCGUUCUUUUAGCGAACAGUCAUCAAGAAACAAAGCCAUUAAUCACACCAUGGUGCAUGAAUAACACAUAUUUGCAUGAAUAAUCAAGCAGAAAACUUAAAAUAUAGAUAAUGACAAACGAAGAUCACACAUAAACCAAACAUCUAACAACAUUAUAAACCAAAAUAUGCCGUGAAUUCAUCACGCAUCUAGAGAAGAAGAUAACAAGAACAUUGUACCAUCAAUGGUCUUUAACGAUUUAUGUUUGGGAAUGCAAGUAAAAGCCGGCAACCGGGGACCUCGACGGAAAUCUCGACGAACUUUAACCAGACUGCCUCGCUUGUCUUCCGCCCAUCGUUACUGUUUUUCGAACUCCAGCCAGCUAUGGUGAGGAUGAGCAGUGGCAAUGGGGAGAAGAACGGGUGGUCGUUUGGAGGAGGUUUUGAGACGACAGUGGCGCUGGGGCUGGUCGUUUUGUGUGAGGGUCUGUCCGGUGUCAUGGUGAGGGACGACGACUGGUGUUUUCCGGUGACUGCUGGGGACGGGUAGUUGUUUGGGUGGUGUGGCUGUUUAGCGUGGUCGACUGUCGUUUGGUCGUGAGGGUGAGGGACGAGUUGGUCGUUUGGACUGUCUGGUUAGAGACGAGGAAGAAGCUGGCUGGCGUUGCUGGGGUGGGUCGACGACGAAGAAGUAGGUGGUCGACUGGGUGGUCUGCUUGGUUUUUCCGGCAGGCUGGUUUGGCGGAGGAAGCUGGUUGGAGAUUUUUUCUUUUGUUGUCCUAUUUUUGUUCUUUGUUUAAAUGAAGAAGAAGAUACAUCAUGUCAAUCCACUCUCAAAUUGUGUAUCUGUGUCCUGUCUGGUGUU